AUGCAUCUCAGUAUCACAAGUCCGUUGUUAAAGUUAUUCAACCACUCUCCUCCAUCAGAUUUUGUACCACAAAGUCCAACCACUCUCCUCCAUCAGAUUUUGUACCACAAAGUCCAACCACUCUCCACUUUUAGAUUCUAUUUUAGUUCCCCCCAAACAAAUUCAAACUCCUCCGAAAUAAAAAAACUACGUGUCUUUCCCCCUCACAAACUAGUGAGUUUGAUUUGGAUUCGGACUCAAAAUUAG
Molecule: non-coding RNA, 246 nt
Organism: Vicia faba (fava bean)
Lineage: Eukaryota; Viridiplantae; Streptophyta; Magnoliopsida; Fabales; Fabaceae
Source: the annotation of a GenBank genome assembly